RNAcentral lists this ribosomal RNA (471 nucleotides) under uncultured soil bacterium. RNAcentral describes it as "bacterial SSU rRNA". It matches the Rfam family "Bacterial small subunit ribosomal RNA", at positions 26 to 518 of the family's 1533-position model. The record is from RNAcentral.
AGGACGAACGCUGGCGGCGUGCUUAACACAUGCAAGUCGAGCGGUAAGGCCUUUCGGGGUACACGAGCGGCGAACGGGUGAGUAACACGUGGGUGAUCUGCCCUGCACUUCGGGAUAAGCCUGGGAAACUGGGUCUAAUACCGGAUAUGACCUCAGGUUGCAUGACUUGGGGUGGAAAGAUUUAUCGGUGCAGGAUGGGCCCGCGGCCUAUCAGCUUGUUGGUGGGUAAUGGCCUACCAAGGCGACGACGGGUAGCCGACCUGAGAGGGUGACCGGCCACACUGGGACUGAGACACGGCCCAGACUCCUACGGGAGGCAGCAGUGGGGAAUAUUGCACAAUGGGCGAAAGCCUGAUGCAGCGACGCCGCGUGAGGAUGACGGCCUUCGGGUUGUAAACCUCUUUCAGUCGAGGACGAAGCGCAAGUGACGGUACCUGCAGAAGAAGCACGGCUAACACGUGCCAGCAGCGC